Molecule: ribosomal RNA, 253 nt
Filed under: uncultured bacterium
Lineage: Bacteria
Description: partial 16S ribosomal RNA
Rfam family: Bacterial small subunit ribosomal RNA
Source: RNAcentral
UACGGAGGGAGCUAGCGUUGUUCGGAAUUACUGGGCGUAAAGCGCGCGUAGGCGGGUUGGUAAGUCCGCUGUGAAAGCCCGGAGCUCAACUCCGGAGGGUCGGUGGAUACUGCCAGUCUUGAAGGUGCUAGGGGGAGAUGGAAUUCCCGGUGUAGCGGUGAAAUGCGCAGAUAUCGGGAGGAACACCGGUGGCGAAGGCGGUUCUCUGGGCCUUACCUGACGCUGAGGAGCGAAAGCGUGGGGAGCGAACAGG